RNAcentral lists this non-coding RNA (24 nucleotides) under Arabidopsis thaliana (thale cress). The record is from RNAcentral. Lineage: Eukaryota; Viridiplantae; Streptophyta; Magnoliopsida; Brassicales; Brassicaceae.
AGCUCUCGUCAGUGGUGAUUGAGU